Molecule: unclassified non-coding RNA, 398 nt
Filed under: uncultured bacterium
Lineage: Bacteria
Description: contains 16S-23S intergenic spacer region
Source: RNAcentral
UCCCGGUUGGCCCGGGCAGUCCCGUCUGAGAAAUACAACAGACGGCAAGGGUUGCGCUCGUUGCGGGACUUAACCCAACAUCUCACGACACGAGCUGACGACGGCCAUGCAACACCUGUCACCGGGUUCCGGCUGCCAAUCCACGAUAAAUAUCCUGGACUCGCAGCCGGCACAUCACUGUUUCCAGCGACUUCCCGGGAUGUCAAGCCUCGGUAAGGUUCUUCGCGUAUCUUCGAAUUAAACCACAUGCUCCACCGCUUGUGCGGGUCCCCGUCAAUUCCUUUGAGUUUUAAGCUUGCGCUCGUACUCCCCAGGCGGGAUGCUUAACGCGUUAGCUUCUCAGCCCAGAGGGUCGAUACUCCAAACUAAUAGCAUCCAUCGUUUACGGCGUGGACUAC